Molecule: ribosomal RNA, 488 nt
Filed under: uncultured beta proteobacterium
Lineage: Bacteria; Pseudomonadati; Pseudomonadota; Betaproteobacteria
Description: bacterial SSU rRNA
Rfam family: Bacterial small subunit ribosomal RNA
Source: RNAcentral
GAGCGGCCGAUGUCCGAUUAGCUUGUUGGUGGGGUAACGGCUCACCAAGGCGACGAUCGGUAGCUGGUCUGAGAGGAUGAUCAGCCACACUGGGACUGAGACACGGCCCAGACUCCUACGGGAGGCAGCAGUGGGGAAUUUUGGACAAUGGGGGAAACCCUGAUCCAGCCAUGCCGCGUGAGUGAAGAAGGCCUUCGGGUUGUAAAGCUCUUUUGGCCGGAAAGAAAAGGCCACGGAUAACACCCGUGGUUCUUGACGGUACCGGCAGAAUAAGCACCGGCUAACUACGUGCCAGCAGCCGCGGUAAUACGUAGGGUGCGAGCGUUAAUCGGAAUUACUGGGCGUAAAGCGUGCGUAGGCGGUCCCCCAAGUCCGCUGUGAAAGCCCCGGGCUUAACCUGGGAAUGGCAGUGGAAACUAUGGGACUUGAAUCUGGCAGAGGGGGGUGGAAUGCCACGUGUAGCAGUGAAAUGCGUAGAGAUGUGGCGG